GGUAAAUGCGUGCCAGCGUCCGGGGUAAUACGGAGGGUGCGAGCGGUGUCCGGAAUGAGGGGGCGUAAAGAGCGUGUAGGCGGUGUGUCGCGUCUGCGGUGAAAAUCCGGGGCUCAACCCCGGACGUGCUGUGGGUACGGGCAGACUAGAGUAUGGUAGGGGAGACCGGAAUUCCUGGUGUAGCGGUGGAAUGCGCAGAUAUCAGGAGGAACACCGAUGGCGAAGGCAGGUCUCUGGGCCAUAACUGACGCUGAGAAGCGAAAGCAUGGGGAGCGAACAGGAUUAGAUACCCGUGUAGUC
RNAcentral lists this ribosomal RNA (300 nucleotides) under uncultured bacterium. RNAcentral's name for it is "bacterial SSU rRNA". It matches the Rfam family "Bacterial small subunit ribosomal RNA", at positions 496 to 795 of the family's 1533-position model. The record is from RNAcentral.